Molecule: long non-coding RNA, 380 nt
Organism: Paramacrobiotus metropolitanus
Lineage: Eukaryota; Metazoa; Tardigrada; Eutardigrada; Parachela; Macrobiotidae
Exons: 3
Source: RefSeq, a predicted model, not a curated record
CAUGCCGCAUACCCGCCACGUCACACUUUUUACGCGUUAUAUGCAUUUAAUUUCUAUCCGAUAACAGCAACGUACGGUCCCGGAAGAGAUUUUGUCAUUUCUCGGGCAAAAACAGCACUGAGCUAAAGUCGCUGGAUUUUGGCUGCGAUAGAUUUAUGACCUGACUAAUGACUGAGCACCAGGAUGCACUAAGUUGCAGGACGAACAAGGAAACGCUACAAGCCAAUGCGUGUUACAUUAUCUUUCCGUCGGAGACUCGGAGAUGUGCCAAUGGCCCAUGGGCAUGUUUUCUAGUCAUCCCAUUUUACGGCCUGCAGAGCCUCCGUAAAGGUAUCCAACGUAACGUACGCAGUUGGGCUGCAAAGGAAGUUCAUUCCAGG